AAAAGGGCCAAAAGGAGACUCGAUAACUGAUAGAUUUUCUUAUAUGGGUUUACCGGGAGACCAAGGAUUCCCAGGGCCAAUGGGCUAUCCUGGUUUUCCGGGAAAUCCAGGUCUUCAAG
Carcharodon carcharias (great white shark) is the source of this 119-nucleotide long non-coding RNA. RefSeq lists it as uncharacterized. Lineage: Eukaryota; Metazoa; Chordata; Chondrichthyes; Lamniformes; Lamnidae. The transcript is spliced from 3 exons. The record is from RefSeq and is a predicted model, not a curated record.